RNAcentral lists this ribosomal RNA (497 nucleotides) under uncultured bacterium. RNAcentral describes it as "partial 16S ribosomal RNA". It matches the Rfam family "Bacterial small subunit ribosomal RNA", at positions 28 to 507 of the family's 1533-position model. The record is from RNAcentral.
GAUGAACGCUGGCGGCGUGCCUAAUACAUGCAAGUCGAGCGAACAGACGAGGAGCUUGCUCCUUUGACGUUAGCGGCGGACGGGUGAGUAACACGUAGGUAACCUACCUAUAAGACUGGGAUAACUUCGGGAAACCGGAGCUAAUACCGGAUAAUAUUUCGAACCGCAUGGUUCGAUAGUGAAAGACGGCUUUGCUAUCACUUAUAGAUGGACCUGCGCCGUAUUAGCUAGUUGGUAAGGUAACGGCUUACCCAGGCAACGAUGCGUAGCCGACCUGAGAGGGUGAUCGGCCACACUGGAACUGAGACACGGUCCAGACUCCUACGGGAGGCAGCAGUAGGGAAUCUUCCGCAAUGGGCGAAAGCCUGACGGAGCAACGCCGCGUGAGUGAUGAAGGUCUUCGGAUCGUAAAACUCUGUUAUUAGGGAAGAACAAACGUGUAAGUAACUGUGCACGUCUUGACGGUACCUAAUCAGAAAGCCACGGCUAACUACGUG